AACGCAGCGAAGGGCGAUAAGUAGUGUGAAUUGCAGAAUUCAGUGAAUCAUCGAAUCUUUGAACGCACAUUGCGCCCCUUGGUAUUCCACGGGGCAUGCCUGUUCGAGCGUCAUUUGUACCUUCAAAGCUUUGCUUGGUGUUGGGUGUUUGUCUCGCCUUUGCGUGUAGACUCGCCUUAAAACAAUUGGCAGCCGGCGUAUUGAUUUCGGAGCGCAGUACAUCUCGCGCUUUGCACUCAUAACGACGACGUACCAAAAGUACUUUUUACACUCUUGACCUCGGAUCAGGUAGGGAUACCCGCUGAACUUAA
RNAcentral lists this ribosomal RNA (311 nucleotides) under uncultured fungus. RNAcentral describes it as "eukaryotic LSU rRNA". The stretch from base 1 to 113 matches the Rfam family "5.8S ribosomal RNA", at positions 42 to 154 of the family's 154-position model. The record is from RNAcentral. Lineage: Eukaryota; Fungi.